UGGCCGCUGUGAAAAAGCUGGCUGCAGCGGUGCGGCCGGGAUUGCACACUCCAUGGGGCCAGAGGGAGCCCAGAACAGGGGGAGCCCCAACCCCACCGAGUUUGCAUCAGGAGCCCACGCUCUCGGUCAGGCUGCAGCCACACAGCCACAGCUCCAAACCCAGGACAAAAAUAGGAGCUAAAUGAGGAGAGGAAAAAAAACAGAGAAGACAUUUCUAUGAAGAAUGCAAGUUCUCUACAGAAAACUAGCUAGGGAAAUUUAGACCAAUUUGUUAAUCUUUCUAAACUUCAUUGCCUUUUCCUACAAAGUGAAAUAAUGAAAUUUUCCUGAGGAUAAAGGAGAUAAUCCAUUUGCACUUCCUGAUGCAUAGAAAGCACUUAAUAAAUUCUGAAUGCUACUGCUAUUGUUGAUUUCCAGUGGGAAGAUGGAGGAAGCAGCAGCUCUGGUCCAAGUUCAACUAUAUUAUCUCUUCCUUCCUUUUACUUCAUUUUCCCUCUCUUCACAGAAAUCUUACAAUUCUGUUUUUUGAUGUGUGAUUAUCUAAAUGGAAUACCAGGUAGUAUGUUAAUUUAGUAACAAAAGAAAGUAGGCCUUUUGGGUUAGCAUUUGAUGCUGUAGUUGAUUCAAUCCCUCUCACUCUUUACAUUAGACACAGGAAAUUAGCAGGUCCCCCUUUAAUGGAAAACAUUUUCUUGCUAAAUCUGUAUUGCUUUCCAAUUUAGGCCCUUGUCAUUGUGUUCCCACAAAUAACACAAUUUAACAGUGCAUGGGUGGAUUCUCUAGAGACUGAGAAGGUUCAUGAAAAUAUUCAUAAGAGAGGUGUGUCAUUUCCCCUCAGCACUACCCACUGCACCCAAUUUAGAAAGACAAACUCCCAGCAGAUGGGUCUCCUGGCCUCUUUCCAAUACAUAAUUUAAAUUGUUUUUCAAAGACACUACAAAUCAAAAGCUGACUGAUGCUGCAAACAAUUUAUGUGUUUCAGAGAAUCAAGUGACAAGGUCAGUGUACAGCACUGCUUUAAUUAUUAUGCCUUUUAAUGACUUGCUUUUUAGUGUGAUAGCUUGUAGAAUGAGUAGUUUCGGGUUUUCUUGGAUUGUAAUAAAACAUUCCUUACUUUCCGCCAUCUAUCCAGUCAGAUGGACUGUGGCUAACCCCUAACAACAAUGCAGUGGCCCACAUGAAAUGUUUCAGGUUUUAAUUCAGCUCCUUAAUGGAGAACCAGCUACUUUACACAACCCAUCACCCAAAGUAUGACCAUUUGGACUGAAGAAACAAUAGCUAGAAGUGGCCUUGCAUCUGCAUUAUUUAACAUUUCAGUCACUAUCCUAAAUUACAGCAGAAGAAACAUGCUUAUUAAGUUUGCAUAGAAAGCCAGGCUGGGAAGGAAGGCAGAGGAUAGCAUCUGAGAAAACACUUACCAGCUCUCUAUGAUCAUGUCCAUUUUGAUCCUUUAUCAAAAGCAAUGCAACUGAACUCAGUAAAGAGAGAACAGACAGCAGGAUGGAAAGAGAAGAUGGAACAGCGCUGAACUAGUCAGAAGCUCUGCAGUCAAAGACUUAACUCUGCCAUUUGCUACAUACACGAACAUCUUGAGCACAUCACUUUGCUUUUAUAUCUUAGUAUAUCUUAAUUUGCCAACUAUAAAGAGUGAUAAAAAUGCUCUGCCACGCCUAUUUGCUAGAGUUUUGUGAAAAUUAAACUGCAUCUUCUUAAUUUUC
This is a long non-coding RNA of Homo sapiens (human), 1718 nucleotides long. Ensembl annotates it as ANK2 antisense RNA 1. Its record names the gene ANK2-AS1. NCBI's taxonomy places the organism in Eukaryota, Metazoa, Chordata, Mammalia, Primates, Hominidae. The record is from Ensembl.